GAGACAUCUAUCAGUUAGGAGGGAGACAUCUAUCAGUUAGGAGGGAGACAUCUAUCAGUUAGGAGGGAGACAUCUAUCAGUUAGGAGGGAGACAUCUAUCAGUUAGGAGGUAGACAUCUAUCAGUUAGGAGGGAGACAUCUAUCAGUUAGGAGGGAGACAUCUAUCAGUUAGGAGGUAGACAUCUAUCAGUUAGGAGGGAGACAUCUAUCAGUUAGGAGGGAGACAUCUAUCAGUUAGGAGGGAGACAUCUGUCAGUUAGGAGGGAGACAUCUAUCAGUUAGGAGGGAGACAUCUAUCAGUUAGGAGGUAGACAUCUAUCAGUUAGGAG
This is a long non-coding RNA of Oncorhynchus tshawytscha (Chinook salmon), 329 nucleotides long. Lineage: Eukaryota; Metazoa; Chordata; Actinopteri; Salmoniformes; Salmonidae. The record is from Ensembl.